RNAcentral lists this transfer RNA (77 nucleotides) under candidate division WWE3 bacterium. Its description in RNAcentral is "tRNA-Asp". It matches the Rfam family "tRNA". Rfam says of the family: Transfer RNA (tRNA) molecules are approximately 80 nucleotides in length. Lineage: Bacteria; candidate division WWE3. The record is from RNAcentral.
GGGGCCGUAGCUCAGCUGGUUAGAGCGUCGCCCUGUCACGGCGAAGGUCGCGGGUUCGAGUCCCGUCGGUCCCGCCA